Molecule: ribosomal RNA, 408 nt
Filed under: Triticum aestivum (bread wheat)
Lineage: Eukaryota; Viridiplantae; Streptophyta; Magnoliopsida; Poales; Poaceae
Description: partial small subunit ribosomal RNA
Source: RNAcentral
AUGGAGACCGUCGUGAAGAAACCGGAGCGCCACUUCGUGCUGGUCCACGGCCUCUGCCACGGCGCGUGGUGCUGGUACAGGCUGGCCACCAUCCUGCGCUCCGCCGGCCACCGCGUCACGGCGCCCGACCUUGCCGCGUGCGGCGCCAGCCCGGUGCGCGUCGACGAGGUGCGCUCGUUCGCCGAGUACAGCCGGCCGCUAACCGACGCCGUGGCCGCGGUGCCGCCGGGCGAGAAAGUGGUGCUCGUCGGCCACAGCUACGGCGGCUACAGCCUCGCGCUGGCCAUGGAGGCGCACCCGGACAAGGUGGCUGUCGCCGUCUUCGUCGCCGCGGCCAUGCCGGCCGCCGGCUGCCCCAUGUCACAUCUACUCUCGCAGGUACCGACUGAACUUCUAGUACUGACGUGA